GAAACCCGUGGCGAUAGAAGAUCCUUGGAAGAAGGAAAUGCACGUGGGACGAGGAAGCGGACUUCGCUGGGCUGGGACGCGCUCAUUGCGGGAUUAUCGGGUGUCGUUAAAUCGAAGGUUUCGUCACUUGGCCGACGUUCUGCGACACUGCGGACGUUUCUAUGAAUGAGUGGAUUAAUGCGCACAGGACAAAGGACUGAACGAGCUGAGCCAUGG
This 216-nucleotide long non-coding RNA is filed under the name Ganoderma lucidum. Its description in RNAcentral is "long non-coding RNA (GLUC_LNC000024)". The record is from RNAcentral. Lineage: Eukaryota; Fungi; Basidiomycota; Agaricomycetes; Polyporales; Polyporaceae.